RNAcentral lists this transfer RNA (65 nucleotides) under Chlamydosaurus kingii (frilled dragon). RNAcentral describes it as "tRNA-Lys". The record is from RNAcentral. Lineage: Eukaryota; Metazoa; Chordata; Lepidosauria; Squamata; Agamidae.
CAUCAAGAAGCUUGCAAAGCACUAGCCUUUUAAGCUAAAGAAGGGAAAUUUUUUCCCCCUGAUGC